This 253-nucleotide ribosomal RNA is filed under the name uncultured bacterium. RNAcentral describes it as "partial 16S ribosomal RNA". It matches the Rfam family "Bacterial small subunit ribosomal RNA", at positions 524 to 776 of the family's 1533-position model. The record is from RNAcentral.
GACGGAGGGCGCAAGCGUUGUUCGGAAUUACUGGGCGUAAAGCGCGCGCAGGCGGGAAGAUAAGUCUGGAGUGAAAUUCCGGGGCUCAACUCCGGAGCUGCUUUGGAUACUGUUUUUCUAGGGACCGGUAGAGGCCGGUGGAAUUCCCGGUGUAGCGGUGAAAUGCGCAGAUAUCAGGAAGAACACCCGUGGCGAAGGCGGCUCUCUGGGACGGUACUGACGCUGAGACGCGAAAGCGUGGGGAGCGAACAGG